UUCAAAUGAGAUGCCGUUGGAA
This 22-nucleotide non-coding RNA is filed under the name Arabidopsis thaliana (thale cress). The record is from RNAcentral. Lineage: Eukaryota; Viridiplantae; Streptophyta; Magnoliopsida; Brassicales; Brassicaceae.